AUCCCUGUAGCUCAUUUGGAAGAGCGUCACGCUACGGACGUGAAGGUGGUAGGUUCGAGCCCUAUCAGGGAUACCA
This 76-nucleotide transfer RNA is filed under the name Candidatus Omnitrophota bacterium. RNAcentral's name for it is "tRNA-Arg". It matches the Rfam family "tRNA". Rfam says of the family: Transfer RNA (tRNA) molecules are approximately 80 nucleotides in length. Their secondary structure includes four short double-helical elements and three loops (D, anti-codon, and T loops). Further hydrogen bonds mediate the characteristic L-shaped molecular structure. tRNAs have two regions of fundamental functional importance: the anti-codon, which is responsible for specific mRNA codon recognition, and the 3' end, to which the tRNAs corresponding amino acid is attached (by aminoacyl-tRNA synthetases). tRNAs cope with the degeneracy of the genetic code in two manners: having more than one tRNA (with a specific anti-codon) for a particular amino acid; and 'wobble' base-pairing, i.e. permitting non-standard base-pairing at the 3rd anti-codon position. RNAcentral also lists the same sequence under 1 other name. The record is from RNAcentral. Lineage: Bacteria; Pseudomonadati; Candidatus Omnitrophota.